UACAGAGGUCCCAAGCGUUGUUCGGAUUCACUGGGCGUAAAGGGUGCGUAGGUGGUUGGGUAAGUUUGAUGUGAAAUCUCUGAGCUCAACUCAGAAACUGCAUUGAAUACUAUCCAGCUAGAGAAUCGGAGGGGGGACUGGAAUACUUGGUGUAGCAGUGAAAUGCGUAGAUAUCAAGUGGAACACCAGUGGCGAAGGCGGCCAACUGGGCUUGUUCUGACGCUGAGGUGCGAAAGCGUGGGGGAGCGAACAGG
RNAcentral lists this ribosomal RNA (254 nucleotides) under uncultured bacterium. RNAcentral's name for it is "partial 16S ribosomal RNA". It matches the Rfam family "Bacterial small subunit ribosomal RNA", at positions 524 to 776 of the family's 1533-position model. The record is from RNAcentral.